Otolemur garnettii (small-eared galago) is the source of this 105-nucleotide non-coding RNA. The record is from Rfam. NCBI's taxonomy places the organism in Eukaryota, Metazoa, Chordata, Mammalia, Primates, Galagidae.
GUCUAUAGCCAUACCACCCUGAACAUGCCCAAUCUUGUCUGAUCUCAGAAGUUAAGCAGUGUUGGGCCUGGUUAGUACUUGGAUGGGACACAGUAGCUUCAAAGA